Cinara cedri is the source of this 630-nucleotide non-coding RNA. The record is from the annotation of a GenBank genome assembly. Lineage: Eukaryota; Metazoa; Arthropoda; Insecta; Hemiptera; Aphididae.
UUGUUUUAAUGUUAUUCGUUAUUGUGUUUACGGCGCUGUUAAAUUUUGACGUUAAAACACUUUGUUUUUAAUGCAAAUUAAACGCACAAGAUUGCACGGGAUCGUACGAGUUUUACAUUUUUUUUUACAAAUGAUAUAUUUUUUCUUUUGUUAGUGUUUUUAAGUUCUAAAAAUAUAAUAUAAAUUCAUCCAGUAUGUUUUAUUUAUUUAUUUUUUUUUAAUAUAAGCUUAAGUACUCGUCGAGAAUCGUUCAUAUUUUGUUUGAACUCGAAUUUAUAAAUUAUAAACUACGUUAUUUAAACGUGACGUUGUAUUAUGGAUUCACAUCACUAAUUAAAAUAGAAUACAUUUUUUUUUACGUAAAUUAAAUCACGAUCUCGAAGAACAUAAUACCAAUUUUAAAUAAUAAUUAUGUACGUAUAACAUAAUACAGUUCAAGAAUCGAGGAACUUGAAUAUUUUGGGAUGCAAUCAAUUUAUUUACCCAGUAUAGAUGGAUAAUGGUAGUAUAUGCAAGGUAAUUUAGUUUUUUUAUUGUACAUUGAAUGCAAAUGAAAAACGACGGAUAUACUUCGCACGUGGGUGUGCCACUGUUGUAGGUGGGAAUUCGGGAAGGUAGGAUAACAACGCG